GUCGUCAGCUCGUGUCGUGAGAUGUUGGGUUAAGUCCCGCAACGAGCGCAACCCUUAUUAUCAGUUGCCAGCAUUCAGUUGGGCACUCUGGUGAGACUGCCGGUGACAAACCGGAGGAAGGUGGGGAUGACGUCAAAUCAUCAUGCCCCUUAUGACCUGGGCUACACACGUGCUACAAUGGACGGUACAACGAGUCGCGAAGUCGUGAGGCCAAGCUAAUCUCUUAAAGCCGUUCUCAGUUCGGAUUGUAGGCUGCAACUCGCCUACAUGAAGUUGGAAUCGCUAGUAAUCGCGGAUCAGCAUGCCGCGGUGAAUACGUUCCCGGGA
This 327-nucleotide ribosomal RNA is filed under the name uncultured Lactobacillus sp. RNAcentral describes it as "bacterial SSU rRNA". It matches the Rfam family "Bacterial small subunit ribosomal RNA", at positions 1051 to 1378 of the family's 1533-position model. Lineage: Bacteria; Bacillati; Bacillota; Bacilli; Lactobacillales; Lactobacillaceae. The record is from RNAcentral.